Molecule: ribosomal RNA, 229 nt
Filed under: uncultured bacterium
Lineage: Bacteria
Description: partial 16S ribosomal RNA
Rfam family: Bacterial small subunit ribosomal RNA
Source: RNAcentral
UCCGCAGGCGGGCAAUUAAGUCAGAGGUGAAAUCCCACAGCUCAACUGUGGAACUACCUUUGAUACUGGUUGUCUUGAGUUAUAGUGAAGUAGAUAGAAUAUGUAGUGUAGCGGUGAAAUGCAUAGAUAUUACAUAGAAUACCGAUUGCGAAGGCAGUCUACUAACUAUAUACUGACGCUGAUGGACGAAAGCGUGGGGAGCGAACAGGAUUAGAUACCCUGGUAGUCC